This 301-nucleotide ribosomal RNA is filed under the name uncultured bacterium. Its description in RNAcentral is "partial 16S ribosomal RNA". It matches the Rfam family "Bacterial small subunit ribosomal RNA", at positions 509 to 807 of the family's 1533-position model. The record is from RNAcentral.
CAGUCGCCGCGGUAAUACGGAGGGGGCUAGCGUUGUUCGGAAUUACUGGGCGUAAAGCGCACGUAGGCGGCUUGGUAAGUUAGAGGUGAAAGCCCGGAGCUCAACUCCGGAAUUGCCUUUAAGACUGCCGAGCUAGUAGGUGAGAGAGGUAAGUGGAAUUCCGAGUGUAGAGGUGAAAUUCGUAGAUAUCGGAAGGAACACCUGUGGCGAAAGCGGCUCACUGGACCAUAACUGACGCUGAGGCGCGAAAGCUAGGGGAGCAAACAGGAUUAGAUACCCGCGUAGUCCCUGUCUCUUAUAC